CGAUCACAGUGGGCUCCAGAUCUACAAAAACAGCUCUGGGGACGUGCUUUCCAGCUCCGGUCUCACUGAAGAAGGUGUUGAAGGAAUCGUCUCCUCCUCCCAGUGUCUUGUCACUGGGCAUCUGUCCGUCCGGCUGGAUCCCAUGCUCCAGGCAGUAAAGCUCCCAGCAGGCAUUGCCGAUCUGGACGCCGGCCUGUCCAACAUGGAUGGAGAUACACUCACGCUGUGGGAGAAACAAAAGAAUAAUAUAAGUUAUUUACUUCUUUAUACAGUUUGACAUAUUUAUUGCAGUAACUUGAUCAUCUAUUGAGUAAACAAGCUUAUUCUGAUUCUCCUCAUCCCUGGAGUUGCAGCUUUGAUUGACGGAUACCGCAACCAAUCAUCAGUCAGAGAUGGACUAACGGUUGUCAACUUUUCACUUCGUUGCUAUGCUACAAGGCCAUUCAAUUUGGCACCGAAUAACAUUUAUAUGAAUGUGUUUUAACAGGUUGGACCGUUAAUGGAGAGGUUUAUUCGGGUUUCUACGAGCAUCAAAUGACAGCAGAGGAUAAUGCCUUCUGUUAGCCCCGCAUCCCACACGGUUCUCUCUCAGGGGACGUCUAAGAGGUGUCCAUUACUGACAUGAAUUUUUAAUGUUGAAGUCGUGCUUACAGCGCAGAUCACCUAUUCUCCCUGCGGGUACAGUUUCCAUGAGUGUGUGAGAGAAGCUCUUCUCUUCAUCCUCACUGCCGGUAAAUUGAAUCAACUUUAAGUUAGGGGGGACAGCCGCUGUCACGAGAAGUGAUGAAGAGGGCUUAGUCAUCGGAGUGAGAGCAGAAUUUGCCGCAGAGUUAGCGGCUGGCUGACAUUAUUCAUUCUGUUCACAUUACAACCUGCUGAAAACAGCUUUUGUUCGCUCAGCCCGCCACUUAUUCAUGCUGCGUUCACUUGUCCAUCGGAUGAUCUGAUGUUCACUUUAAGAACCAUUCUUCAAAUCGCACCACGAUAAACAUUAAUGUUAUAAUUAUGCUAUGUGUGGUCGACAAAUCGAUAUUAACUUUGGUCCGCCAUUUUCCUGCGUAAUAUGACGUAAAGUGUGUCAGUUCGGAGAGCAGGUGUAGUGCCGUAGAAUGCACCCCAGCAUCCCAUCCUCUCAUUAGCUUCUUAAAGUGGAAGAAAAUGAUCUCAUAUUGAAAAAAACACGAAUACUGGAUCAUGACAACGUGUCAAAUGAAGCAGCAAACUUUCGUCAUGUUAUUUUGUGUCUCAGAAAUGCACUUAUAGAGGUGUAUAUAAACUGUACAGUAAGCUGUCAAGGUAGAGAACAUUAUAUUUACGGGACGGCAAACACUCCGAAUCAGAGGGCUAUUGUUUUCGGCUUAUCUGAACAGCCUGAAUGAAAUCAUUGAAGGCACACGCUUUUGAAUCCAUCCAACGAUUGAGAAAACUUGGAUUAUUUCGCCUCAGUAUGUACUUUCAACCGCAACCGUCAGGGGGUGCAUUCUACGUCAAGGGUGAAUUCUAAAGCACAACACCGGGUACCAGAUUUUCUGACUCCGAGUUUUUUUCCCGGAUGCAGUCAGUUUUCAUCCUUAAUUUAUCUUUCUUUACAAUUACACCAACGCGAUAUGACAUGUAUAUUUCUGAAUUCAAACAUGUCCUCUGAAUAAACCACCUCUUUUUACAACAUUGAUUAAAAAAUGCACUUAUUGGAGAGCGUUAAAGUGAAGAUAACAGUAUUAUAAUCCCUCUAGCUCCCAUUCCCGAAAAAGAUUAAAAUAAAGUAUCUUUAACAUGACUCUGGAUCAAAGUUUAUAAAGUUUUCUCACCAUUUUGUUAUGUUGUUGUCGCGGUGGAGGGUAGCAGAAGCUCCUUGUCAGGGAUUCUUACAAAUCGACAGUUAUGGGGUCGAUGUAAGAGACAAUGGCGCACUGGAGGAUGGAUAGUGGUAUAUAUGCGAGUGCAGAUCCACAGAC
Non-coding RNA from Xyrichtys novacula (pearly razorfish), 1955 nucleotides. NCBI's taxonomy places the organism in Eukaryota, Metazoa, Chordata, Actinopteri, Labriformes, Labridae. The record is from the annotation of a GenBank genome assembly.